RNAcentral lists this long non-coding RNA (3262 nucleotides) under Triticum aestivum (bread wheat). RNAcentral's name for it is "long non-coding RNA (TAES_LNC012836)". The record is from RNAcentral. Lineage: Eukaryota; Viridiplantae; Streptophyta; Magnoliopsida; Poales; Poaceae.
UAGUACCUAGUGUCUUCUACAGAUUAUAGAGACACAACUGAACCAACAUUGCGAUGCAGAGGCCGGGGGCAAUCCUCCUUUUCGAAAAGAAAAAAACAGCUGAACCAACAUACACACUUGACACUUCCUAUCAUACAGAUGACUACACACUGAACCAACAUAGACACUGCCCUAUCCAUAGUGUGAAAAAAGCAGUUCAUCAUCUAUCUAAUGCAAACAAUCCUUCUUCUCCAUCAUUGUUAAUUCACAGUCUGAAAAAAAGGAUCAAACACGACAUUAGACCAAUCAUUAAGAUAUACAGCACAAAGGGACGCCAUUAACACUGAACCAAAAAGCUGAAAAUACAUAGUACAUGAGACAGCGAGUGACAUAGACGAGUACAGUAAAUUAGGCAACCUUUAGCCAAAAGUACAACUAAAAAAGACUGGAAGUCAUGAACCUCUUUACUGUAAAUUUGAAGUAUAAAAAACAGAAGUGCUUACAUCUUCAAAAAAAAUCAGUAACAAGAAGUCUAGAACUUAUCCACCCUGUUGAACUCACUGAAAAACUUAUCAUUAGCAUACUUUGUCCUUAAGUUGGGAAUGUCAGCGCUUGAAAAAUGGUCAACAACUUGAGUCCUUGCAGUCCACACUUCCAUAAACUCCAAUGUAAAGACACCACAAUUGUGUGCCUGGUUUCACAUGAAUAAAGGAAGAAAAAAAAAGAUACCAACAAAAUCAAGAACAGAAUAUAAGAGAAAAUCAGGCCAGCUAUACUAAAAAACAAAUUACCUAUUGGUCUGAUUGGAACAGCUAUAGGUCGAUAACAUCAUUUGUUUUCCAAACUGUUUUGUUUCCUCAACAUGGGAGUAAUAAAAGUGUCCCAGAAUCCUAUAAAGUUUGUAAUACGCUCGAAUAAAGGAAAAUACAAGAGAUAAAUCUUAAAAGAUAACAACACAGUGCCUUCAAAAGGGAAACAAAUUGAUUAAAAUGUACUAGCAUAUCGCCAAUCUGCAAGUGAAAUUCAGAAUGCUCAUUAAAAGCUGGAUCAAGUAAAGUAAAGGCUCUUCCCUUCAAACAAACAAAGAAAGAAAACCAAUGCUUUCGAACGGUUACAGAGAAGUACAGCUGGAACAAGGAAGAAUAAUAUGAAGAAAAAUGUAUAUAGAGAAAAUGAGAAAUAAAAAAGAAAUGGCAAAGACAAACACCAAAAAAGAAGGCAGAAAUUAAAUUACUAUCAUGGAGGAAAUGAAAAAUAAAAAGAAAGAGCAAAGACAAACACCAACAAGGAACCAUGGAGUUAGAAAUCCUUCAAUUCCAAUUGGGGCAAAGAUAAACACCAAAGCUGCAACAACUAAUUGGGGGAGAGCCAUGGAAGAUCAUACAAGAGACGAUCCACAGGCCGGAAAUCCUUCAAUACCAAUGUCUUUGCUCAUGCCUAGUGAUUUUCUAUGAGAUCUAGAACCGGUAAAAUCACAAGAAUGAAAAGCAGAGAUCACAAAUUCUUUUCAUUUGACAGAGUGUAUUGCACAGAGCACUCUAGUCAAAAUCAAAGAAACUGGUCAGUUUUGUUUCAAAAUCACCAGGGCAAAAGAAACUAAAAUUUACAGUAGCAAAAAAGUACUGAAAUUACUAUUAUCAAGUUGCAACACUAACCAAAGGUAGAUUCAGUAUAUAUUAACAGUGUGAAUAGAUAGAACACUACCCAACAAAGACACUGUGAUUUACAGUCUAAUUACCACUGUAAUUUUACUGAAAUUACACUGUGAUUUGCAUUGACUGUAAAUACAGUAAAUAUUCUAGUAAAAAUGGCACUGUGAUUACCCAUGGAAAUUACACUGUAACAACAUUGUAAAUAUAGAGAAAUUGCACUGUAAUUACAGUAAAUAGCAGUGUGAUUUACAGUGUAAUUACCCUAAAAAUUACGCUGUAAUUACACUGCAAUUACAAGUAUACUGUAAGAGCACUAUAAUUACAAUACGAUUACUCUGUAAUUUCAGAGGAAAUGACACUGUAAUUAAAAUGAAAUUACAAUCUUAAAGCUGUUGUAAACUUAGAUGCAACACUACGGAAAACAUAGAAAAAAUGUUAUAAAAUGGAUACAAAUACUACCAAACAAAGACAAACCACAAAGAUAAAGAUGCAACACUACGGUUCUAAAAUGCUUGCAGACCCAACAUAGUCAAACUUCAUUGUGAUCUAGUGUAAUUAACCUGAAAAUAGCACUAUAAUAACCUGAAAUUACAUUGUAAUUGCAGUGCCUGUAAACUAAAAAUCAUAGAAGUUACAGCAAAAAUUGCACAAUGGUUACCUCUGGAACUUACACUGAAAUUACAAUGUCACUACUAUGUGAUUUCAAAUGAAAUUACACUGUAAUUAAAAUGAAAUUACAGUUAUGGUUACCUCUGGAACUUACACUGAAAUUACAAUGUCACUACUCUAUGAUUUCAGAGGAAAUUACACUGUAAUUAAAAUGAAAUCAGAUUUAUGAAGUUGUGGUAACUUAGAUGCAACUAGUACCUAAAAACGAACACCCCUGGAUCUAACAACAAAAAACGUCAGCGGAAUCAAACGCCCAGGUUAGCAGAAAGAAAAUCAACAGGGGAAUCGGAUCCACCGCUACAUCCAUCCACCUAUCAAUGUAAUUGCAAAAAAAUCGCCAAAAUCCACCUCUAAGACUACACAUACACCUACAUCUACAUCAAACACAAGGGGAAUCGAAUCAAACCACAAGAUCUAGAAGAAAUUCAAUGGGGCAAGGGAGAAGACCAGGAUAUCCAACUGAAACCACACGGCACUGGAGCGGAAAUCAAUCUGAAGAAGAGGAGGAGGAGAAGAUGGGAAUCACCAUGGACGACGAGGAAAUCGCCAAGAAUCGCCUCCCUCUCUCAGCUUUAACUCUCGCCAAGAAAUGAGAAAGGACAAAAAAAAGACAGAGAACAAAAGGGAUAGGCGGUAACGGGCUGGCUGGGAAACGAAAGCGCACCCGGUAACAGAGACAGAAAAAAAAAGUCCAAAAAAGCCAGCACCCAGCGCGGAUCUUGGCACAAGACCAAGCGGCCAGAAAUUUGAAUGAAACCCAAUUGUAAAUCACUCGACUGUUAAUUAGCAAAACCGUAAAAUAAAGGACGGACACAGACAGCGUACGGACUAAAGCAAACCGUAGGGACUCACCUGAUGCAAUUAGAAAAGGAGUAUCCUGUCAGGUGUCUAUUAUAAUUCAUACAGGAUCCAACUAAAAAAAUAGAAUUCAAACACGAUAAAUCAAGCAGUAAAAAAGGCCA